Clarias gariepinus (North African catfish) is the source of this 511-nucleotide long non-coding RNA. RefSeq lists it as uncharacterized. The transcript is spliced from 3 exons. Lineage: Eukaryota; Metazoa; Chordata; Actinopteri; Siluriformes; Clariidae. The record is from RefSeq and is a predicted model, not a curated record.
CAGGAAGCGUCAGAUUGAGCACCAGAGUUGAGCAGUACAGAGAAGCAGCAGCACAGCCCGAGCCGACACUGAGACUGGAACUGGUGGACAGACACAAAGACAGAACUCUUACGGUGAAAAUCUUCACCAAUGAUAUCCCUCAAAAUGCUGCCUUCGUCUUGUCUGAUCUUUCUCCUGAUGGUCUCAGGAGCUUUGGGGAAUAAAUGGAGUGUGACAUACAGCCAGACAAAUCUCUGUGCUUUAAAAGGAUCUACAGUGUUUAUGAACGGCUCGUAAACACACCCAACACAUCUUAAUGUGACUAAGACAUUUUGGUUAAUUAACCCAUUUGAUGGUAAAGACACUGGUCUGUGCAAUGAACCAGGUUACUCAGGCAGAGUGGAGUAUUUAGGAGAUGAAGAGAAACACUUCUCCCUCAGACUGAGUGACGUGAAGAAAUCAGAUCAAAAUGAAUACUACUUCAGAAUCAGAACGAAUGAAGAAAAAUGGUUUGGUAAACCUGGAAUCAGAC